This 26-nucleotide non-coding RNA is filed under the name Homo sapiens (human). Lineage: Eukaryota; Metazoa; Chordata; Mammalia; Primates; Hominidae. The record is from RNAcentral.
UCCACAUGGAUCCCUUUGCCUGCCAC